CCUACGGGUGGCAGCAGUGGGGAAUAUUGGACAAUGGGCGAAAGCCUGAUCCAGCCAUGCCGCGUGUGUGAAGAAGGCCUUCGGGUUGUAAAGCACUUUCAGUGGGGAAGAAAGCCUUGGGGCUAAUACCCUCGAGGAAGGACAUCACCCACAGAAGAAGCACCGGCUAACUCCGUGCCAGCAGCCGCGGUAAUACGGAGGGUGCGAGCGUUAAUCGGAAUUACCGGGCGUAAAGCGCGCGUAGGCGGUCUGAUAAGCCGGUUGUGAAAGCCCCGGGCUCAACCUGGGAACGGCAUCCGGAACUGUCAGGCUAGAGUGCAGGAGAGGAAGGUAGAAUUCCCGGUGUAGCGGUGAAAUGCGUAGAGAUCGGGAGGAAUACCAGUGGCGAAGGCGGCCUUCUGGACUGACACUGACGCUGAGGUGCGAAAGCGUGGGUAGCAAACAGGAUUAGAUACCCUGGUAGUC
RNAcentral lists this ribosomal RNA (465 nucleotides) under Vreelandella stevensii. RNAcentral's name for it is "partial 16S ribosomal RNA". It matches the Rfam family "Bacterial small subunit ribosomal RNA", at positions 338 to 795 of the family's 1533-position model. Lineage: Bacteria; Pseudomonadati; Pseudomonadota; Gammaproteobacteria; Oceanospirillales; Halomonadaceae. The record is from RNAcentral.